GACGAACGCUGGCGGCGCGCCUAACACAUGCAAGUCGAACGAGCGAGAGAGAGCUUGCUUUCUCGAGCGAGUGGCGAACGGGUGAGUAACGCGUGAGGAACCUGCCUCAAAGAGGGGGACAACAGUUGGAAACGACUGCUAAUACCGCAUAAGCCCACGACCCGGCAUCGGGUCGAGGGAAAAGGAGCAAUCCGCUUUGAGAUGGCCUCGCGUCCGAUUAGCUAGUUGGGGAGGUAACGGCCCACCAAGGCGACGAUCGGUAGCCGGACAGAGAGGUUGAACGGACACAUUUGGACGAGGACACAGCCCAGAAUCCUAGGGGAGGGAGGAGGGGGGGAUACUGCCAAAUGGGGGAAACCCAGAUGCAGCGACGCCGCGUGGAGGAAGAAGGUCUUCGGAUUGUACACUCCUGUUGUUGAGGAAGAUAAUGACGGUACUCAACAAGGAAGUGACGGCUAACUACGUG
RNAcentral lists this ribosomal RNA (466 nucleotides) under uncultured bacterium. RNAcentral's name for it is "partial 16S ribosomal RNA". It matches the Rfam family "Bacterial small subunit ribosomal RNA", at positions 28 to 507 of the family's 1533-position model. The record is from RNAcentral.